AACGGAGGGUGCAAGCGUUAAUCGGAAUUACUGGGCGUAAAGCGCGCGUAGGCGGUUUAGUAAGUCGCAUGUGAAAGCCCCGGGCUUAACCUGGGAAUUGCAUGCGAUACUGGUUGACUAGAGUAUGUUAGAGGGAAGUGGAAUUCCGGGUGUAGCGGUGAAAUGCGUAGAUAUCCGGAGGAACACCAAUGGCGAAGGCAACUUCCUGGGACAAUACUGACGCUGAGGUGCGAAAGCGUGGGGAGCAAACAGG
This 253-nucleotide unclassified non-coding RNA is filed under the name uncultured Gammaproteobacteria bacterium. Its description in RNAcentral is "contains 16S-23S intergenic spacer region". It matches the Rfam family "Bacterial small subunit ribosomal RNA", at positions 524 to 776 of the family's 1533-position model. The record is from RNAcentral. Lineage: Bacteria; Pseudomonadati; Pseudomonadota; Gammaproteobacteria.